RNAcentral lists this ribosomal RNA (492 nucleotides) under uncultured bacterium. Its description in RNAcentral is "partial 16S ribosomal RNA". It matches the Rfam family "Bacterial small subunit ribosomal RNA", at positions 29 to 507 of the family's 1533-position model. The record is from RNAcentral.
AGUGAACGCUGGCGGUAGGCCUAACACAUGCAAGUCGAACGGCAGCACAGUAAGAGCUUGCUCUUACGGGUGGCGAGUGGCGGACGGGUGAGGAAUACAUCGGAAUCUACUUUUUCGUGGGGGAUAACGUAGGGAAACUUACGCUAAUACCGCAUACGACCUACGGGUGAAAGCAGGGGAUCUUCGGACCUUGCGCGAUUGAAUGAGCCGAUGUCGGAUUAGCUAGUUGGCGGGGUAAAGGCCCACCAAGGCGACGAUCCGUAGCUGGUCUGAGAGGAUGAUCAGCCACACUGGAACUGAGACACGGUCAAGACUCCUACGGGAGGCAGCAGUGGGGAAUAUUGGACAAUGGGCGCAAGCCUGAUCCAGCCAGACCGCGUGGGUGAAGAAGGCCUUCGGGUUGUAAAGCCCUUUUGUUGGGAAAGAAAAGCAGCAGGUUAAUACCCCGCUGUUCUGACGGUACCCAAAGAAUAAGCACCGGCUAACUUCGUG